UUGGGCACUCUAAAGAGACUGCCCGGUGGUCAAACCGGAGGAAGUGGGGAUGACGUCAAGUCCUCAUGGCCUUUAUGACCAGGGCUACACACGUACUACAAUGGCCGGUACAAAGGGCAGCGACACAGCGAUGUGAAGCGAAUCCCGAAAAGCCGGUCUCAGUCCGGAUUGGAGUCUGCAACUCGACUCCAUGAAGUUGGAAUCGCUAGUAAUCGCGGAUCAGCACGCCGCGGUGAAUACGUUCCCGGGCCUU
RNAcentral lists this ribosomal RNA (253 nucleotides) under uncultured Desulfocapsa sp. RNAcentral describes it as "partial 16S ribosomal RNA". It matches the Rfam family "Bacterial small subunit ribosomal RNA", at positions 1131 to 1382 of the family's 1533-position model. The record is from RNAcentral. Lineage: Bacteria; Pseudomonadati; Thermodesulfobacteriota; Desulfobulbia; Desulfobulbales; Desulfocapsaceae.